RNAcentral lists this ribosomal RNA (207 nucleotides) under uncultured bacterium. Its description in RNAcentral is "partial 16S ribosomal RNA". It matches the Rfam family "Bacterial small subunit ribosomal RNA", at positions 568 to 774 of the family's 1533-position model. The record is from RNAcentral.
AGCGUAGACGGCGCAGCAAGUCUGAUGUGAAAGGCAGGGGCUUAACCCCUGGACUGCAUUGGAAACUGCUGUGCUUGAGUGCCGGAGGGGUAAGCGGAAUUCCUAGUGUAGCGGUGAAAUGCGUAGAUAUUAGGAGGAACACCAGUGGCGAAGGCGGCUUACUGGGCACCAACUGACGCUGAGGCUCGAAAGUGUGGGUAGCAAACA